Molecule: unclassified non-coding RNA, 201 nt
Filed under: plant metagenome
Description: partial contains small subunit ribosomal RNA, internal transcribed spacer 1, and 5.8S ribosomal RNA
Source: RNAcentral
UCUCCGUUGGUGAACCAGCGGAGGGAUCAUUAUCGAGUUUAUAACUCCCAAACCCUAUGUGAACUUACCACUUGUUGCUUCGGCGCGCGCUUCGGCGCCGCCGAGGACACUUAAACUCUUUGUUUUUAUAAGCAUUUCUGAGUGGCCGAAAGGCAAAAUACAAAUGAAUCAAAACUUUCAACAAUGGAUCUCUUGGUUCUG